UCAUAGGCUCAUAUCUAUCUAUCUAUUAUACUAAAUGAAUUCUCUUAGGCCACAUGGACUAUUCUUAGCCAAUCAAUUAACUGAUGUGGACACCCUCUUUGGCCAGAUAAUUGUUCAAGAGCGCCAAACCCUUUUCCUCUGUUUUCCUUUUCACGCGGCUUCUUAGACACGCUUUCCAUCAUAUCAUUCAAAAAACCCUAAUUAUAUUCUCUUGCCAUUUCAUACAUCUGCGAUUUUAUUAGAAAUACCUGAUCUAUAGCAUGGCGAUUCUCAUCAAAGUGAUUGUUGGAAACCCUAAAUUGUAACCAGUGGAAUUGAAUUCAGGUCUUCAAUUCUUUGAUUUCGAUAUUCACAGGUCUGAAAUGUUGACAUGUACAAUCAACUAUCAGGUUAUGUAGUUGAUAGAUUUUGACAUAGUUUGACCGAUUUAUUCUCUCAAGUGUAUCGUUGAGGAAAGAUUUGACUGGAAUUCCUCAUAUAUAGGAACACAGUGUCCUAUUUGGUUCAAGAAAGUACCCUUUAAAAGAACCAUUUGUUGAACUACUGAAGGGGAGUUUGCAUACUUUUCUUAAUGCAUUCACAUAUCCUGAUAAGACAUGCUAUCAUGUUGCAUCUACAAACACAAAGGAUUUUUAUAAUUUGGUAGAAGUAUACAGGGGCGGACCUACAUAGGUCUUUACGGGUUCCCAGGAACCCAUUGCGUUUUGAAAUUUUAAUAGAAAUUAUAUGUAAAAAACCAAAGUGAACCCAUAAGAAAAUUAAAGGUGAACCCAUUAACACUAAAGAAGCAUGUUCCAGCGGAUAAAAUUCAGGUUUCUGUCCAAAGCGUUUCAGGGCUCCAGACACAAUCAGAAACGCAACCAGUAGUGAAGUAGUGAACCCUGAAUCAAUUUUGCACCUUCUUCUUUUCCUCCUGAGAAGAAAGGAUCUGAUGACCAUCAAUGGGCUCAGAGGCAUCUCAACUAAGUACUAAGUUAACGACCAUGACAGCCACCAGCGCUCACGGUUCUGUAGACUUUAUUCUGUUGUCAUAGAUCACACUUAUACCGUCAAUAAUCUAAGUGAAUUUGAACAUUUUGUCAUAAUUUUUUAGCAACUGAGACGCGUUUUCAUAUUGUUCAGAUUUAUUAAAUUAGAGGAUAUAUGU
This 1147-nucleotide long non-coding RNA is filed under the name Helianthus annuus (common sunflower). Its description in RNAcentral is "hypothetical non coding rna". The record is from RNAcentral. Lineage: Eukaryota; Viridiplantae; Streptophyta; Magnoliopsida; Asterales; Asteraceae.